Panicum virgatum (switchgrass) is the source of this 457-nucleotide long non-coding RNA. RefSeq lists it as uncharacterized. The record is from RefSeq and is a predicted model, not a curated record. NCBI's taxonomy places the organism in Eukaryota, Viridiplantae, Streptophyta, Magnoliopsida, Poales, Poaceae. The transcript is spliced from 2 exons.
ACUCCUCACAAGUCCUCCCGUUCCUCGCUGGGCAGGGAGGCUCCGCCGCCACCCUCCUCCCCGGCCUCCCUCCACUCCGGUCACCCUCCUCGCUGGCCUCCGUGUCGGCCACUGUACCCGCCGUCCGCCGGCCGCCCUACCACCGGCCGCGCCGGCCGCCCUUCGCACCGUCCACACCGACCGCCCUCCACGCCGGCCACCCUCCACGCCGUCCGCGCCCUUCCAGCCCCUGCCCCUUCACCCAGGGUUUGAUUUGGCUGUCUGCGAGAGCGGGUGAUUGGCCUUGCGGCUCGCAAAAGAGGUCCAGAUCGACAACCACCGUGGGCAGCUCUGUCGAGUUCAGCUACAAGGUAACCAUUACUGCUUUAGAGUAGAUCGACAAACACGUUGUCUGUAUUUGUCACAGCUACUUCCGGAUUCUGUAAAGCUAUUUGUGUGCGAUCAAUCUUUUUCUGUA